RNAcentral lists this ribosomal RNA (253 nucleotides) under uncultured bacterium. Its description in RNAcentral is "partial 16S ribosomal RNA". It matches the Rfam family "Bacterial small subunit ribosomal RNA", at positions 524 to 776 of the family's 1533-position model. The record is from RNAcentral.
UACGGAGGAUCCAAGCGUUAUCCGGAUUUAUUGGGUUUAAAGGGUGCGCAGGCGGAAGAUUAAGUCGGCGGUGAAAUUUUGCAGCUCAACUGUAAAAGUGCCUUCGAAACUGGUUUUCUUGAGUGUGGAUGAAGUAGGCGGAAUUUGUGGUGUAGCGGUGAAAUGCAUAGAUAUCACGAGGAACUCCAAUUGCGAAGGCAGCUUACUAAGCCAUAACUGACGCUCAGGCACGAAGGCGUGGGGAUCAAACAGG